GAUGAACGCCGGCGGCGUGCUUAACACAUGCAAGUCGAACGGAAAGGCUCCUGCUUGCAGGGGUACUCGAGUGGCGAACGGGUGAGUAACACGUGGGUGAUCUGCCCUGCACUUCGGGAUAAGCCUGGGAAACUGGGUCUAAUACCGGAUAGGACGAUGGUUUGGAUGCCAUUGUGGAAAGUUUUUUCGGUGUGGGAUGAGCUCGCGGCCUAUCAGCUUGUUGGUGGGGUAAUGGCCUACCAAGGCGUCGACGGGUAGCCGGCCUGAGAGGGUGUACGGCCACAUUGGGACUGAGAUACGGCCCAGACUCCUACGGGAGGCAGCAGUGGGGAAUAUUGCACAAUGGGCGCAAGCCUGAUGCAGCGACGCCGCGUGGGGGAUGACGGCCUUCGGGUUGUAAACUCCUUUCGCUAGGGACGAAGCGCAAGUGACGGUACCUGGAGAAGAAGCACCGGCUAACUACGUG
Molecule: ribosomal RNA, 466 nt
Filed under: uncultured bacterium
Lineage: Bacteria
Description: partial 16S ribosomal RNA
Rfam family: Bacterial small subunit ribosomal RNA
Source: RNAcentral